RNAcentral lists this ribosomal RNA (493 nucleotides) under uncultured bacterium. RNAcentral describes it as "partial 16S ribosomal RNA". It matches the Rfam family "Bacterial small subunit ribosomal RNA", at positions 29 to 523 of the family's 1533-position model. The record is from RNAcentral.
AUUGAACGCUGGCGGCAUGCUUUACACAUGCAAGUCGAACGGUAACAGGUUAAGCUGACGAGUGGUGAACGGGUGAGUAAUGCAUCGGAACGUGCCCGGUCGUGGGGGAUAACGCAGCGAAAGCUGCGCUAAUACCGCAUACGAUCUGAGGAUGAAAGCGGGGGACCGUAAGGCCUCGCGCGAUCGGAGCGGCCGAUGUCAGAUUAGGUAGUUGGUGGGGUAAAGGCUCACCAAGCCGACGAUAUGUAGCUGGUCUGAGAGGACGACCAGCCGCACUGGGACUGAGACACGGCCCAGACUCCUACGGGAGGCAGCAGUGGGGAAUUUUGGACAAUGGGCGCAAGCCUGAUCAAGCAAUGCCGCGUGCAGGAAGAAGGCCUUCGGGUUGUAAACUGCUUUUGUACGGAGCGAAAAGGCUCUCUCUAAUACGGAGGGCUCAUGACGGUACCGUAAGAAUAAGCACCGGCUAACUACGUGCCAGCCGCCGCCGUAA